RNAcentral lists this ribosomal RNA (405 nucleotides) under uncultured bacterium. Its description in RNAcentral is "partial 16S ribosomal RNA". It matches the Rfam family "Bacterial small subunit ribosomal RNA", at positions 29 to 525 of the family's 1533-position model. The record is from RNAcentral.
AUUGAACGCUGGCGGCAGGCCUAACACAUGCAAGUCGAACGAGUGGCGGACGGGUGAGUAAUGUCUGGGAAACUGCCUGAUGGAGGGGGAUAACUACUGGAAACGGUAGCUAAUACCGCAUACCAUCAGAUGUGCCCUGAUGUGUUUAGCUUGUUGGUGGGGUAAGGGCUCACCAAGGCGAAGAUCCCUAGCGGGUCUGAGAGGAUGAGCAUCCACACGGGAAUUGAGACACGGUCCAGACGCCUACGGGAGGCAGCAGGGGGGAAGAUUGCAAAAGGGGCGCAAGGGUGAUGCAGCCAUGCCGGGGGUAUGAAGAAGGCCUUCGGGUUGUAAAGGACUUUCAGCGGGGAGGGGUAACCAGAAGAAGAAGCACCGGCUAACUCCGUGCCAGCAGCCGCGUAAUUG